This 1229-nucleotide long non-coding RNA is filed under the name Sus scrofa (pig). RNAcentral describes it as "lncRNA (ENSSSCG00050076219.1)". Lineage: Eukaryota; Metazoa; Chordata; Mammalia; Artiodactyla; Suidae. The record is from RNAcentral.
AGGUGAAUGGAGGCAGGUUCUCCUGGUGGUGGCAAGGGGACCUAGAGCCCUGGUGCGGUCGGGUGUGCCACCAUGCCCUUGGCCAAAGUCUCUAUUUUGCUGUGCCUCUGACCCUCAGGCUGCCUGCAGACAGAUGGUCUCAGACAGAUGUGCGCUUUGCAAUUGUUGGAGCCCAUUUGUAUGAAAAGAGAUCUGGGAAACCUUGAUUUUUGCUCUUAAGGCCUUCAACUGAUUGGAUGAGGCCCACCACAUCAUCAAGGUCAUUUCUUUUACUUAAAAUUGUCUGACUGUAGAUGUGAAGUACAUCAUGAAAAAAUGUCUUCACAAAAACACUUCAGUUAGUGGGUAAAUACCAGGCGCUAUUACCUAAAAGCCAAGUUGGCAUAUAAAACUACCCAUUGCACAAGGUGAAGAGCUUUGUCUUGAUCCUAGGAGUAAUGGGAAGCCCUUGAAGUCUGUCAGGAAGAGAUGGCAUAAUUAAAUUUGUGUUUCCCAAAUGGACUUUGUGCUGACAGAAGGAGCUGGACUUUGGACACAGGAAGCAUGUCUUGCCCACCAGAGCAUCUUUAGUAGCUAGAACAGCACUCAGCACACAUGACUCUGACUGCCAGAAAAUUUAGGAAGAUUUUGCAAUGGGAAUCUAGAACGGAUCCUUUCUAUCUCUGGAGACUAGUCAGGCCAGCUGGAUUGUCAGACUUGCCCAUGAAGCAUGUCAGUUUCUUGCCUGAACUCACCUUGCAGACUUUCUACCCUGCCCUGCUUACCUGGGUAUAUGGACACCAGAGCUGAUGCUGGAAACAUCAGGCCAAACUAGGUCUUUGGAAAUAACUCUGCUAAGGACCUUCGCAUGUGCAGGACUGUGUGCUGAGACAGUGGCUGGAGUCACUGAUGGUGCCAGGACCUGCAAAGAGGCCAGUCCCUCGAAGAUGUCCCCCAGUGCAGCUGGCCAUGCUGGAAAGGAAAAUGGAUCAAAACAUUCUUCCUACCACCAUCUCUCUUUGGUUUUGUGCUGGUUGUUGUUCCGAGGGGCAGACCUCCUGCUGGCCAAGUCACAGAGAUGGAGGCGGGUUUCCCAGGCCUCGAUUCGGCACAAAGUCUGUUUCUGAUUUCUGGUAGGGCUCCUCACCACCUGUUCCAGGCUGCAGCUGCUGUUGUUUUAUUUUGUGUUACAGAGCUUAUUACUAUUGUUGGUUCAUCAUUACAUAAUGUUUUAUUUAUAUUCACAAAAA